UAAGGAAUAUUGGUCAAUGGACGCAAGUCUGAACCAGCCAUGCCGCGUGGAGGAUGAAGGUCCUCUGGAUUGUAAACUUCUUUUAUCUGGGAAGAAAUCCACAUUUUCCAAUGUGGUUGACGGUACCAGGUGAAUAAGCACCGGCUAACUCCGUGCCAGCAGCCGCGGUAAUACGGAGGGUGCAAGCGUUAUCCGGAUUCACUGGGUUUAAAGGGUGCGUAGGCGGGUUGGUAAGUCCGUGGUGAAAUCCCCAAGCUUAACUUGGGAACUGCCGUGGAUACUAUCAAUCUUGAAUAUCGUGGAGGUAAGCGGAAUAUGUCAUGUAGCGGUGAAAUGCUUAGAUAUGACAUAGAACACCAAUUGCGUAGGCAGCUUACUACACGAUCAUUGACGCUGAGGCACGAAAGCGUGGGGAGCAAA
This 420-nucleotide ribosomal RNA is filed under the name uncultured bacterium. RNAcentral describes it as "bacterial SSU rRNA". It matches the Rfam family "Bacterial small subunit ribosomal RNA", at positions 355 to 772 of the family's 1533-position model. The record is from RNAcentral.